RNAcentral lists this ribosomal RNA (468 nucleotides) under uncultured bacterium. RNAcentral's name for it is "partial 16S ribosomal RNA". It matches the Rfam family "Bacterial small subunit ribosomal RNA", at positions 28 to 507 of the family's 1533-position model. The record is from RNAcentral.
GACGAACGCUGGCGGCGUGCUUAACACAUGCAAGUCGAACGGAAAGGCCCUGCUUUUGUGGGGUGCUCGUGUGGCGAACGGGUGAGUAACACGUGAGUAACCUGCCCUUGACUUUGUGAUAACUUCAGGAAACUGGGGCUAAUACCGUAUAGGAGCUCCUGCUGCAUGGUGGUGGUUGGAAAGUUUCGGCGGUUGGGGAUGGACUCGCGGCUUAUCAGCUUGUUGGUGGGGUAGUUGCUUACCAAGGCUUUGACGGGUAGCCGGCCUGAGAGGGUGACCGGGAAAAUUGGGAGUGAGAUACGGAACAGAAGGGAACGGGAGGCAGCAGUGGGGAAUAUUGCACAAUGGGAGGAAGGAUGAUGCAGCAACGCCGCGUGCGGGAUGACGGGCUUCGGGUUGUAAACCGAUGUAGCCUGUGACGAAGCGUGAGUGACGGUAAUGGGUAAAGAAGCACCGGCUAACUACGUG